Molecule: transfer RNA, 72 nt
Filed under: Urocitellus parryii (Arctic ground squirrel)
Lineage: Eukaryota; Metazoa; Chordata; Mammalia; Rodentia; Sciuridae
Also listed under: 1 other name
Description: Spermophilus parryii (Arctic ground squirrel) tRNA
Rfam family: tRNA
About the family: Transfer RNA (tRNA) molecules are approximately 80 nucleotides in length. Their secondary structure includes four short double-helical elements and three loops (D, anti-codon, and T loops).
Source: Rfam by way of RNAcentral
GGGGAUGAGGCUCAGUGGUAGAGCACUUGUCUGGCAUGCAUGAGGCCCUGGGUUUGAUUCUCAGCACUACAA